CAUAUCACUUCGAAACAUUGUUUCCCGUCCGAUCACCGAAGUUAAGCAACGUCGAGUAUGGUCAGUAUCUAGAAGAGUGUCCCCUUGGGUAUACCAGGUGUUGUAA
This is a non-coding RNA of Acanthosepion pharaonis, 106 nucleotides long. The record is from the annotation of a GenBank genome assembly. Lineage: Eukaryota; Metazoa; Mollusca; Cephalopoda; Sepiida; Sepiidae.